This 22-nucleotide non-coding RNA is filed under the name Mus musculus (house mouse). Lineage: Eukaryota; Metazoa; Chordata; Mammalia; Rodentia; Muridae. The record is from RNAcentral.
ACCUGUGGAAGCUGAGGCAGAA